RNAcentral lists this long non-coding RNA (1660 nucleotides) under Takifugu rubripes (torafugu). Its description in RNAcentral is "lncRNA (ENSTRUG00000027630.1)". Lineage: Eukaryota; Metazoa; Chordata; Actinopteri; Tetraodontiformes; Tetraodontidae. The record is from RNAcentral.
UUUGAAUUCAGGUUGAAUAAAAAUAAAAGUCUGAAAGGUGGAAAUGACGUGCAGCAAGGAUGCAGGCAGGUGGGGGCAUCGUACAGAUUCUCUUGAGAUCAUUUUAUUCAUCUCAAAUGAUUUUAGCUGAUAGAUUUCCUGUUCUUAUUUCACAACAGUAAGUGUAAUUUAGUUAGCUUACAUGCUUCUCCAGCUACGUGUCAUCGAGAAGGUUUUUAUUUAAAUGUAAACCUAAAAUGUAACAGUCUUCUCUUCCUCCUCACAUUUAUCUUGCAACAUCGACCUCCUGGCUGCACCUCACCCUCCUCUGCAUCUGCUAAACACCCGAAGUGCAGCGCCAGGCAUGGCCAUGUGCGGCUUUUUUGGCGGCUGUUUCCCGCCUGGGUCGUAGGAACGUUCCUGCUGGUUGGAACUUCUAUCGUUUGUGUGGAGCUGCUCGACUCGCCGAUACCUCUGAAGGUGACAUGGAUGCGCGGCGCUUGUGCUUUAAUUAUCUCUGUGUGUCCACAGAGCUUUUUUUCUCUCUCCUUUGGAACCGAGGUCAUUUUCUCCGUGAGCCAAGAGAUUCUCCUCAACCUUGUGUAUUGUGUCCAGGUGUCUGUGACGGAUGUAGAUCCACGAGACGCCACAGAGGGACAGAUCUCCUCCUGAGCCAACUUAACUUAUCAGGAACACGGACCAAAAAAAUCAGGCUAAUUAAUUAAGAACAGUAUUAGAAGUAAUGGGAUAUUAUAAUAUAAAUUGCUACAUUCUGGAACCAAUUUAAUCCAAUUACUGGAACCCCUCAUGAAUAUAAUACCUCCAAAAUCACCCCGUCAGAGUCCAAAGGGAGAGACGUGUCUGGCUACCAAGACAGAAAAGAAAAAGAAAAAACAGCCCCCUUUUUAACGGUGGAAACCAGUGAAGAUUUAAAUGGUUGAAGGGAGCUGUUAAUUUGAGUAAUAAACCUAAUGAUGAUUUUUUUCCCUUCUAAUUGACAUUUUGACCAUUUAAACCUGAGUAGGUUUUUGUUUGAGCUCCCUCAUGUUUGAUAAAGACGGACGACUGGAAAGGCUGAUUGGUUCUUCUUCUCUUAAUGGUUUCUACCCAAUUUGGAAAAAUAAGAAAAUCCUUAGGAGACAAAGGAACGCUAAUCUCUGCCAGCUGAAGUGGAGUACAUUUGGGAACGGUGGACAGGAUGAAUCGACAGAAAGCAUUUGAUGGAGGACAAUUACAUCAUAUACUAUUAUUCUGCUUUGACGUGGCUUUGCUGUUGAAUCUUUCCCACAUAUGACUGUUUUUAUAGAAGCACAAAUGCAGUCUGCUAAUCCUAAAUUCUAAGAUCUUUUGACAGCCCCUAACCUCUCUGAAAGAGCUGGUUGUAUCAAGAUUUCUUCAUUUUAAAAGAAGGGAUUCAUACCAAAAUCUGCCAGGAGGAGAAGCCCUGAAAAUGGAGCACUCUCAUCUGAACUUUAACCUCCGGUUUUGAUGGUCAAGCUCAUCAAGUUAAACCCAAAAGUCCACCAAAGCCAGUUAUAAAAGAGAAAUCUGAUAUAACUGCUCUUUUAUUAUGUAAAGCAGUUGUUAUUUAACUCCAUUUUUCUUGUCAAUCUGUUACAAUAAACUUUUCUCUUUCGUCAGCCUCCUAUGACCUCACUUCCUGUUUUGCCUUUGCACUUCC